RNAcentral lists this non-coding RNA (223 nucleotides) under Carnobacterium inhibens. Its description in RNAcentral is "T-box sequence". It matches the Rfam family "T-box leader". From Rfam's summary of the family: Uncharged tRNA acts as the effector for transcription antitermination of genes in the T-box leader family. Lineage: Bacteria; Bacillati; Bacillota; Bacilli; Lactobacillales; Carnobacteriaceae. The record is from RNAcentral.
GUAAAGACGAUGACGAGAAAGAGUAACCCUAUCAACAUCCAAAGAGAGUCUGUGCUGGUGGAAGCAGAUGGUGGUGAUCGGGUGAAGUGCAUCUCUGAGUUAGAGAGUUGAAUAAAGUAGACUCUUAUCGGUUAACACCCGUUAGCGUGUCAAAGGUCGUUUGUUCUAUUCAGUAGGAAGAAGACGAUAAAGAAAAGUGGAACCACGCAGUAGCGUCUUUUAU